This 387-nucleotide long non-coding RNA is filed under the name Androctonus crassicauda. Lineage: Eukaryota; Metazoa; Arthropoda; Arachnida; Scorpiones; Buthidae. The record is from RNAcentral.
UCUGUGUGACAUUCUUACCAACAUCAGGCCCAACCAGUGGGACACAAAGGGGUGCCUUUGGGCUGCACGGCCCCUUUCUGUGCCCUGUUCCUGGCUCUAGCCUCAGGGACCCAUCUGGCUACACAGGCAGACACACUGCUGCCACUACUUGCACCUACUCUGAGCUGCUUGAAUCCUAAGCCCAUGGACCACUCUGCUGUCACUGUGGCCGUGUCAGUCUUGAACCCCGAGUCAGGCCUCAGAGUGAUCUUGGUUUGCAUAGGUACAGUCUAGCAGGACAGCAUAUGUGGGAUUGGCUAGUCUCUGAUACAAGGGGACACAGGCACCAACUUGGACUCCAGAGCAGGGACUGGUCCAUGCCCUGGGCAGGUCUGAGUGUCAGGCCCU